UACGGAGGUCCCGAGCGUUGUUCGGAUUUAUUGGGCGUAAAGCGUGCGUAGGCGGUUGGGCAAGUCAGGUGUGAAAUCCCGGAGCUCAACUCCGGAAGUGCACUUGAUACUGCUUUACUAGAGUACUGGAGAGGAGACUGGAAUUUACGGUGUAGCAGUGAAAUGCGUAGAUAUCGGAAGGAAGACCAGUGGCGAAGGCGAGUCUCUGGACAGUUACUGACGCUGAGGCACGAAGGCCAGGGGAGCAAACAGG
This 253-nucleotide ribosomal RNA is filed under the name uncultured bacterium. RNAcentral's name for it is "partial 16S ribosomal RNA". It matches the Rfam family "Bacterial small subunit ribosomal RNA", at positions 524 to 776 of the family's 1533-position model. The record is from RNAcentral.